UUGAGAGCUCUCUUUCUGACCACUAUUAAAUCCCUCUAGAUAAAACUUCUAUGAUUUCCCUAUCCUUUUUUGCAAUUUUUUGUUACUUCAACAUCCUCCGACCAAACAACUGAGUGAAGAAACAAGUAUUCAUGUAAUAACCCAUAUUAAAUUAGGGGUUAUUUUGGCAUUUAAUCAAAAUAGAAAAAAAAAUAUAUAGAAGAAAUAAGUGGUACAAAACAAAAGAAAAGGAGGAUUAAGGGUCCUUUAGGGAAAAAAAAAAGUAGGAAAAAAAAAAGAAGGAAAAAGAGAUGUGGGCCAAGCCUACAAAAAGAAAAAAAAAAGAAAAAGAAAAUAAAGAGUAAAAGGGAAUAAGAGAGUCGGACGUGAAUUGCAGAAGCAAAAGUAAUAGAAGCCGAACAGAGGAAAAAAUAAAAAAAUAAAAAUCGCAGUAGAAGAAAGGGAGAAAAAGAGAGGAAAAGAAAAGAGAAAAAUAGGGAUUUUCAACCCUAAUCAUCAAGUUUGAGGCAAUCCGGAGACUCGAGAACGCAGUUUUGAUUUAUUGGGAAGUGUGCUUGAAUUGUGAAUUUGAGAUACUGUCGUUGAGAACGAGGCUGGUAAUUGAAGACUUCGUGAGUGGAUUUUGUUGCUGAGGUGAGCCACCGCAUUGUUCGUGGAGGCAGCCAUUUCAGCUUUAUCUAGUUUAUUUCCAGUUAUUUCUUUUAUUUUGGGUUUACAUGCCCGAUACUCAAACUCAUGUAACUCUGUUAGAUGCUCCAUGGUCUUAGUGUGAGAUGUGGGCUAGAGAUUAUUUUUUUUAUCGUAGCGUUGAUUGGUUUUCAUAAAUCGAUUAUGGAUUUGGUGGGCGACUAUUUCGCAUUUUUA
Long non-coding RNA from Lycium barbarum (goji berry), 864 nucleotides. RefSeq lists it as uncharacterized. The record is from RefSeq and is a predicted model, not a curated record. The transcript has 3 exons. NCBI's taxonomy places the organism in Eukaryota, Viridiplantae, Streptophyta, Magnoliopsida, Solanales, Solanaceae.